Bombyx mori (domestic silkworm) is the source of this 1446-nucleotide long non-coding RNA. RefSeq lists it as uncharacterized. The transcript has 3 exons. NCBI's taxonomy places the organism in Eukaryota, Metazoa, Arthropoda, Insecta, Lepidoptera, Bombycidae. The record is from RefSeq and is a predicted model, not a curated record.
CUUUUUGGCGGGAACGCGAGGAGUGAAAUUGUGUGAUUUGUUUUAUUUUGUCUAUAUAGUGUUUCUUCAGGUUUAAAUGUGUAAUAACGGUGGUUUAUUAACUGUUUAUUAUCUGUAAAAGUGCACAAAUGUGGGAAAAUGAAACAAAGCCGCUGGACGUAACUUCUCGGGAUUCUCCAAAAAGUCCACUGAAAAAAUCUUAGUAAAUGACCACCAUUUUUCUGAGAUUAUAUUUCAUCCCAUAUCAUCUCAUUUCAUUUAAUUUCAUUCCAGUUGAUUAAUAUCUCAAAUUAAUCAUCUUCAUUUCAUUUCACUCCAUAAUAUAAUUUUUCAUAAAAAUAUGAAUAUAAAUUAAAAUAAGACAUGACUUACAGAUCUUAGUUACCAGGUCAUAAAAUCCCUUUUAUAAGAUCUGUGGGAGGACUUUUUGGCGGGAACGCGGGGAGUAAAAUUGUGUGAUUUGUUUAAUUAUGUCUAUUUAGUGUUUUUUCAGGUUUAAAUGUGUAAUAACAGUGGUUUAUUAACUGUUUAAUAUCUGUGAAAGUGAACAAAUGUGGAAAAAUGAAACAUGGCCGCUGGACGUAAUUUCUCAGGAUCCUCCAAAAAGUCCACUGAAAAAAUCUUAGUAAAUGACCACCAUUUUACUGAGAUUAUAUUUCAUCCCAUAUCAUCUCAAUUCAUUGCAUUUAAUUUCAUCCCAGUUGAUUAGUGUCUCAAAUUAAUCAUCUUCAUUUCAUUUCACUCCAUAAUAUCAUUUUUCAUAAAAAUAUGAAUAUAAAUUAAGACAUGACUUAAAGGUCACAGUUACCAGGUCAUAAAAUCUCUUAAAAAGUUUUAUGAUAAGUACGUGUUUACCAAACAACGUUGUGUUAGUAGAUUCUCAUAGCAGUCUAAUUAGUCACUGAAAUCUAUACUGCCACUGACGGAGAUCUGAAGCUACAGCCUGAACCACUUUAGGUAUGUACUUUGAUAUGACCGUCGAUGUCUAUGGGCUCCUGUGAACACUUAACAGCAUUUCGGCCGUGGACUCAUCCACCCAUCAAAACUAUAAACAAUCAACCAAGGCUUGAUAAUAUUCUGUUAUCUAUCAGAAUAUUUUCAAGCCUUGGUUGAUUUUUGCAACGCACGGAUCACUAAAAAUGACUGAAAAUAUGACGAUAUUGGUGAAUGUAACGCGGGAAAAAGCCUGUGCUUUAUAUUUUAUAAAGGAUACAGUCUGCAAGUUUAAUAUGAUCCUUGAAUACUGUGUACCAUUUCUUGAGUACUAUUUUGUCGUAUCUAGUGCCAGUUUGUGCGGCUAUUAACUUCUUUAAAUCACCCACGGUAUCGUCAGGGUUGCAUUUAACUCGAACCUUCUUACCGAGUCGAUCAUUGCAUGUUACUUCAAGCAUUUUGCUCUCAAAUCAGCUCUCAGUUUUAUUAUGAAAUAAAAUAUAUAAAUAGUAA